UGUUCCAGGUCUUCCUUUCUGCUGGAUAUGGCUGAAUCACAGCUGCUAAAGAACAUAGGGGAUGUGAUAGCAGGAGUGCUUCCGGACCUUCCUGAUCAACUUGUUAAGUCCGUUGAAGAUACUUUAAAAACACUUGGUGCGGCAACCACAGAUGAUUUAAAGAACAUCACAGAAAACGAUUUGCUGCCAGUGUUAAAGCCCAUACAAGCACGAAGACUGGUUGCUGCCUGGACCCAAAAUAUCAUUUAGUUGAAUCUUCUGAGGAGAAGUGGGUUCCACACACCAGCUAUCAACCAGAAAAGAGGUUCAAGCAGUCUCCCAACUCAGCACCUGUUUCAGCUCUACCAGUAAGAGUGAAGGGGCUGGAUGUUCUCUGGUUCAGGCAAACUUUCUUGUAGUUUUAUUAUCAAAAAUACCCUUAAUAUAUUACACAAAUGCUUAACGUAUAAUGUAACGGUGUGUUUUGGGAAGACUAUUUUAAGGAAUGUGGUGAUAUUUUGCAAUGAGCUCAGACAGCUAACGUGCUUCAUUUGAAGGUCAUGUUCAGUUCACUUUGUAAAAUUUGAAUGAAAUGUUUCAAAAUACACGAUUAUUGUGUAAGUUAUAGUUAUUACAAUAAACUGUAUUUAAAUGGGUUGUGGGUUGUGGAUCGAGUUAAUAGAAUCUUUAGUAUUUAAGUCAAAGAAUCAUACAAAAGCCAUAUGAUACACAGUCAUACGCCUAAUGCUAAUUACAAAUGCUAAAUUGAGAAUGAAUCUUUCUUUUUGGAUAAAUCUUUGCUUGAUUUGCGUUAGAGGACGGCUUAAAGACCAGACAGAAUCCUCUGCCAGCUGGUCAGUUACAUUUCACCGUCCGUGUUUUGCUUUCUGUGAAUCAGUUUUGGCUAACGUUAAUGCUAAACACGUGAUUAUUGAGUUAUAGUUAUAGGGGAUUCUUAGCCUUGUUAACCCUGUGGUUAUUUAUGAUCUUAGAUGUACAACAUAACGUGCUUCACAUAACAUCCGGUCUAAAACACAGAAAAUAUAUCAUCAUGUUGAAUUAUCAGCAAAUGUCUAGUAUUUCAGGAGCUUAGCGUGGUUGUGAUCACCUCUGCUUCACACACAAAAGUGGUCGUAAAACAAUAAGGAGAGACAAAAGCCCCAUGUGCUAGGU
Molecule: long non-coding RNA, 1152 nt
Organism: Silurus meridionalis
Lineage: Eukaryota; Metazoa; Chordata; Actinopteri; Siluriformes; Siluridae
Exons: 3
Source: RefSeq, a predicted model, not a curated record